AUUGAACGCUGGCGGCAUGCUUUACACAUGCAAGUCGAACGGUAACAGGCCGCAAGGUGCUGACGAGUGGCGAAUUUGUUUGUAAUGCCUCGGAACGUGCUCAGUCGUGGGGGACAACUCUUCGAAAGAGUAGUUACUACUGCAUACGACUUUUGGUUCAAAAUGAGGGACCGUAAGGCCUUGGUCGAUUGGAGCAGCCGAUGUCAGAUUAGGUAGUUGGUGGGGUAAAGGCUCACCAAGCCAACGAUCUGUAGCUGGUCUGAGAGGACGACCAGCCACACUGGGACUGAGACACGGCCCAGACUCCUACGGGAGGCAGCAGUGGGGAAUUUUGGACAAUGGGCGCAAGCCUGAUCCAGCAAUGCCGCGUGCAGGAAGAAGGACUUCGGGUUGUAAACUGCUUUUGUACGGAACGAAACGGCUCUGGUUAAUACCCGGGGCUAAUGACGGUACCGUAAGAAUAAGCACCGGCUAACUACGUG
This 482-nucleotide ribosomal RNA is filed under the name uncultured bacterium. RNAcentral's name for it is "partial 16S ribosomal RNA". It matches the Rfam family "Bacterial small subunit ribosomal RNA", at positions 30 to 507 of the family's 1533-position model. The record is from RNAcentral.